CCUAGACAGAGGAAGAGGAUGAGUAUAUUUUUAGACAAUGAAGCUUGGAGCAGAAAGGGAAAAAAAAGGAAGUUCACAAAUCUUGGCUUUGUACGGGGUUGAAAAGAGAACCUUGCCAAGGGGGCAUGCCAUUGGUUUCAUCUUGCUCGCGUUUCUUCAAAGGUGUAGACUUGCAAGACUUUUUUUCUUCCCCAAACCUUGAGUAGUUAGUAGUAUACAUAUUAUUAAGUCUAUAUUACAGAUGAAGAAACGGAGGCAUGGAGGAGUUAAAGCAACUUUUAGGAUCGUAGAUAUCAUCAUGGAAGGGGUCUCAGGAACCAUCUAGCUAGUCCAUUUCCCUUCUUUAACAAAUCAAGAGAAUGAAGCUGAGAGAGGUGAAGUGAUUCAUCCAAAGUCACAUGGGAAGUAAGGAACAAUGUUAGUUUUGAUGGAUUGUCCACCAGAGGAGAAGGCUGGUGUAUCACAAGAUGGUUCCAUGGGACUUCCCACAUAAUAUUGUCCCCCACAAAUACACGUCUAACUCCAAAGCAUGCAUCUCUGCCAGCUUCUGCUUGCCUGGACUUCUGGAUCCUUGUUAUUUGGAGCAUCCUUACUGGACGGGACGCACCUCUAGAUUAGAUUCUUGGACUCCCAGAUGCUCAUGCCUGAUUAUCUCAGAACAGACUGGAGACUGAUCGCUUCCCCUAGUAGAGUCAAGAAUGGCUGAGCAGGUCAAUGACCCAGGCCCAUUUCUCUGAGGCCAUUUUGGGGGGAGGGAAGGCCUGAUGGUCCUUUCCAUCACAGUAUGGCUCUCUCUGACUGU
Molecule: long non-coding RNA, 802 nt
Filed under: Monodelphis domestica (gray short-tailed opossum)
Lineage: Eukaryota; Metazoa; Chordata; Mammalia; Didelphimorphia; Didelphidae
Description: lncRNA (ENSMODG00000046103.1)
Source: RNAcentral